This is a small nucleolar RNA of 215 nucleotides. It matches the Rfam family "Plant small nucleolar RNA U3". From Rfam's summary of the family: Small nucleolar RNAs (snoRNAs) are involved in the processing and modification of rRNA in the nucleolus. There are two main classes of snoRNAs: the box C/D class, and the box H/ACA class. U3 snoRNA is a member of the box C/D class. The record is from Rfam.
ACGACCUUACUUGAACAGGAUCUGUUCUAUAGGCUCGUACGUCUGUGUCCUUGAGUUCUAAGGAGACAGGAUAUCAAGUCUGGUGGAUGAAUUAUGAUCGUGUGAUCCGAGCGUGAUUAACGGCUCUCACUGAUCCCUAGGUUGCUGAGGCUGUAGAGGAUCGUUCUCAGCUGGGUUUCCCUGGCUGGGGGGGUCACACGGUUGUCUGACAGACU